RNAcentral lists this ribosomal RNA (465 nucleotides) under uncultured Gammaproteobacteria bacterium. RNAcentral's name for it is "partial 16S ribosomal RNA". Lineage: Bacteria; Pseudomonadati; Pseudomonadota; Gammaproteobacteria. The record is from RNAcentral.
GACUACAGGGGUAUCUAAUCCUGUUUGCUCCCCACGCUUUCGUGCCUGAGCGUCAGUUCUGGUCCAGGAAGCCGCUUUCGCCACUGAUGUUCCUUCGGAUAUCUACGCAUUUCACCGCUACACCCGAAAUUCCGCUUCCCUCUGCCGAACUCUAGCUAUCCAGUAUCGAAUGCAAUUCCCAGGUUGAGCCCGGGGAUUUCACAUCCGACUUAAAUAACCGACUGCGCACGCUUUACGCCCAGUAAUUCCGAUUAACGCUUGCACCCUCUGUAUUACCGCGGCUGCUGGCACAGAGUUAGCCGGUGCUUUUUCUUUGGGUUAAAUCAAGACCGAAAGGUAUUAGCCCUCGGCUUUUUGUCCCCACUAAAAGUGCUUUACAACCCGCAGGCCUUCUUCACACACGCGGCGUCGCUGGAUCAGGGUUGCCCCCAUUGUCCAAUAUUCCCCACUGCAGCCGCCCGUAGG